Molecule: small nuclear RNA, 104 nt
Organism: Echinops telfairi (small Madagascar hedgehog)
Lineage: Eukaryota; Metazoa; Chordata; Mammalia; Afrosoricida; Tenrecidae
Source: Ensembl
GUAAAUUCAGCAGCACAUAUACUAAACUUGGAACGAUACAGAGAAGAUUAGCACGGCUGCUGUGCAAAAAUGACACGCAAAUCCCUGAAGCAUUCCAUAUUUUA